RNAcentral lists this unclassified non-coding RNA (253 nucleotides) under uncultured Gemmatimonadota bacterium. RNAcentral's name for it is "uncultured Gemmatimonadetes bacterium contains 16S-23S intergenic spacer region". It matches the Rfam family "Bacterial small subunit ribosomal RNA", at positions 524 to 776 of the family's 1533-position model. Lineage: Bacteria; Pseudomonadati; Gemmatimonadota. The record is from RNAcentral.
GACGGAGGGCGCGAGCGUUGUUCGGAAUUACUGGGCGUAAAGCGCGGGCAGGCGGUCUGUUAAGUCUGCUGUGAAAUCCCGGGGCUCAACCCCGGGCAUGCAGCGGAUACUGGCAGACUAGAGACCGGUAGAGGCUAGUGGAAUUCCUGGUGUAGCGGUGGAAUGCGUAGAUAUCAGGAAGAACACCUGUGGCGAAGGCGGCUAGCUGGGCCGGUUCUGACGCUCAUCCGCGAAAGCGUGGGGAGCAAACAGG